This 651-nucleotide ribosomal RNA is filed under the name Funneliformis caledonium. RNAcentral describes it as "eukaryotic LSU rRNA". It matches the Rfam family "Eukaryotic large subunit ribosomal RNA", at positions 88 to 632 of the family's 3401-position model. Lineage: Eukaryota; Fungi; Glomeromycota; Glomeromycetes; Glomerales; Glomeraceae. The record is from RNAcentral.
GGCGAGCGAAAAGGGAUAAGCUCAAAUUUUAAAUCUGUUGGGUUUCACCUAACAGAGUUGUAUUUUGAAGAAACGUUUUCUGCGUCCAGGAUUAACCUAAAUCCUUUGGGAUAAGGUAUCAUGGAGGGUGAGAAUCCCGUUCAUGGUUAAUCUUAAGGAUGCUCUACGAUACGUUCUCCAAGAGUCGAGUUGUUUGGGAUUGCAGCUCAAAAUGGGAGGUAAAUUUCUCCUAAGGCUAAAUAUUGGCGAGAGACCGAUAGCGAACAAGUACCGUGAGGGAAAGAUGAAAAGAACUUUGAAAAGAGAGUUAAACAGUACGUGAAAUUGUUGAAAGGGAAACGAUUGAAGUCAGUCAUACUAACGGGAAAUCAACCUCUUGAGUUUGGUCUCGUGGGUUUCGAAGAGUUUUAAAAGCCUUCGGAUUUUCGAGAUUGGGCUCUUCUGGUGUACUUUCUCGUCGGUUAGUCAACAUCGGUUUUGAAUGUCAUAAAAUGACUGGAGGAAUGUGGCUUCGAUCUCGUAUUGAAGUGUUAUAACCUUUGGUAGAUGUGAUGUUUGAGACCGAGGAUUGCAACGGAUACCCUUCUGGGCUAUUCGUCUGAUCUCUGAAACGUUGCCUUGAUGUCGAAAGCUUGCUUAUGAUGUUAGGGU